RNAcentral lists this ribosomal RNA (429 nucleotides) under Pseudomonadota bacterium. RNAcentral's name for it is "Proteobacteria bacterium partial 16S ribosomal RNA". It matches the Rfam family "Bacterial small subunit ribosomal RNA", at positions 355 to 776 of the family's 1533-position model. The record is from RNAcentral. Lineage: Bacteria; Pseudomonadati; Pseudomonadota.
UGGGGAAUAUUGGACAAUGGGCGAAAGCCUGAUCCAGCCAUGCCGCGUGUGUGAAGAAGGUCUUCGGAUUGUAAAGCACUUUAAGAUGGGAGGAAGGGCAGUAAGCGAAUACCCUGCUGCUUUGACGUUACCGACAGAAUAAGCACCGGCUAACUCUGUGCCAGCAGCCGCGGUAAUACAGAGGGUGCAAGCGUUAAUCGGAAUUACUGGGCGUAAAGCGCGCGUAGGUGGUUCGUUAAGUUGAAUGUGAAAGCCCCGGGCUCAACCUGGGAGCUGCAUCCAAGACUGGCGAGCUAGAGUAGGGCAGAGGGUGAUGGAAUUUCCUGUGUAGCGGUGACAUGCGUAGAUAUAGGAAGGAACACCAGUGGCGAAGGCGACCACCUGGGCUCAUACUGACACUGAGGUGCGACAGCGUGGGGAGCAAACAGG